RNAcentral lists this transfer RNA (90 nucleotides) under Patescibacteria group bacterium. RNAcentral describes it as "tRNA-Ser". It matches the Rfam family "tRNA". From Rfam's summary of the family: Transfer RNA (tRNA) molecules are approximately 80 nucleotides in length. Their secondary structure includes four short double-helical elements and three loops (D, anti-codon, and T loops). Further hydrogen bonds mediate the characteristic L-shaped molecular structure. tRNAs have two regions of fundamental functional importance: the anti-codon, which is responsible for specific mRNA codon recognition, and the 3' end, to which the tRNAs corresponding amino acid is attached (by aminoacyl-tRNA synthetases). tRNAs cope with the degeneracy of the genetic code in two manners: having more than one tRNA (with a specific anti-codon) for a particular amino acid; and 'wobble' base-pairing, i.e. permitting non-standard base-pairing at the 3rd anti-codon position. The record is from RNAcentral.
GGAGAGGUGACAGAGUGGUCGAAUGUGCCGGACUCGAAAUCCGGUGUCGAGUUCGCUCGACCGUGGGUUCGAAUCCCACCCUCUCCGCCA